UUAAUUGAAGAGUUUGAUCAUGGCUCAGAUUGAACGCUGGCGGCAGGCCUAACACAUGCAAGUCGRGCGGAAACGGCRGUAUUGAARCUUCGGUGGAUUUACUGGACGUCGAGCGGCGGACGGGUGAGUAACGGCUGGGAACCUGCCCUGACGAGGGGGAUAACCGUUGGAAACGACGGCUAAUACCGCAUAAUGUCUACGGACCAAAGGUGGCCUCUACAUGUAAGCUAUCGCGUUGGGAUGGGCCCAGUUAGGAUUAGCUAGUUGGUAAGGUAAUGGCUUACCAAGGCAACGAUCCUUAGCUGGUUUGAGAGGAUGAUCAGCCACACUGGGACUGAGACACGGCCCAGACUCCUACGGGAGGCAGCAGUGGG
RNAcentral lists this ribosomal RNA (374 nucleotides) under Salinivibrio sp. MA427. RNAcentral describes it as "bacterial SSU rRNA". It matches the Rfam family "Bacterial small subunit ribosomal RNA", at positions 1 to 358 of the family's 1533-position model. Lineage: Bacteria; Pseudomonadati; Pseudomonadota; Gammaproteobacteria; Vibrionales; Vibrionaceae. The record is from RNAcentral.